RNAcentral lists this ribosomal RNA (254 nucleotides) under uncultured bacterium. RNAcentral describes it as "partial 16S ribosomal RNA". It matches the Rfam family "Bacterial small subunit ribosomal RNA", at positions 524 to 776 of the family's 1533-position model. The record is from RNAcentral.
UACGAAGGGGGCUAGCGUUGCUCGGAAUCACUGGGCGUAAAGCGCACGUAGGCGGAUCUUUAAGUCAGGGGUGAAAUCCCAAGGCUCAACCUUGGAACUGCCUUUGAUACUGGGGGAUCUCGAGUCCGGAAGAGGUUGGUGGAACUGCGAGUGUAGAGGUGAAAUUCGUAGAUAUUCGCAAGAACACCAGUGGCGAAGGCGGCCAACUGGUCCGGAACUGACGCUGAGGUGCGAAAGCGUGGGGAGCAAACAGG